Small nuclear RNA from Manis javanica (Malayan pangolin), 161 nucleotides. RefSeq annotates it as U1 spliceosomal RNA. The record is from RefSeq and is a predicted model, not a curated record. Lineage: Eukaryota; Metazoa; Chordata; Mammalia; Pholidota; Manidae.
AUACUGACCUGGCAGGGGAGAUAACCGUGAACAUGAAAGUGGUUUCCCAAGAGGUGCAUCCAUUGCACUCCAGGUGUGCUGACCCUGGAGAUUUUCCCAAGUGUGGGAAAAUCAACUGCAUAAUUUGUGGUAGUUGGGGACUGCAUUCAUGCUUUCCCCUU